GGCUGGUUUGUGGACGUAGGCCUUAUCAACCCGGUCAGGUCCGGAAGGAAGCAGCCGUCGUAAGAUCCCUGCGGGUCACGUUAAGCACGCCCC
This 93-nucleotide signal recognition particle RNA is filed under the name Alphaproteobacteria bacterium. Its description in RNAcentral is "signal recognition particle sRNA small type". The stretch from base 6 to 86 matches the Rfam family "Bacterial small signal recognition particle RNA". From Rfam's summary of the family: The signal recognition particle (SRP) is a universally conserved ribonucleoprotein involved in the co-translational targeting of proteins to membranes. Archaeal SRP consists of a 7S RNA and homologues of the eukaryotic SRP19 and SRP54 proteins. Lineage: Bacteria; Pseudomonadati; Pseudomonadota; Alphaproteobacteria. The record is from RNAcentral.